GAUGAACGCUGGCGGCGUGCCUAAUACAUGCAAGUCGAGCGAACAGACGAGGAGCUUGCUCCUCUGACGUUAGCGGCGGACGGGUGAGUAACACGUGGAUAACCUACCUAUAAGACUGGGAUAACUUCGGGAAACCGGAGCUAAUACCGGAUAAUAUAUUGAACCGCAUGGUUCAAUAGUGAAAGACGGUUUUGCUGUCACUUAUAGAUGGAUCCGCGCCGCAUUAGCUAGUUGGUAAGGUAACGGCUUACCAAGGCAACGAUGCGUAGCCGACCUGAGAGGGUGAUCGGCCACACUGGAACUAAGACACGGUCCAGACGCCUACGGGAGGCAGCAGUAGGGAAUCUUCCGCAAUGGGCGAAAGCUUGACGGAGCAACGCCGCGUGAGUGAUGAAGGUCUUCGGAUCGUAAAACUCUGUUAUGAGGGAAGGACAAAUGUGUAAGUAACUAUGCACGUCUUGACGGUACCUAAUCAGAAAGCCACGGCUAACUACGUG
Molecule: ribosomal RNA, 497 nt
Filed under: uncultured bacterium
Lineage: Bacteria
Description: partial 16S ribosomal RNA
Rfam family: Bacterial small subunit ribosomal RNA
Source: RNAcentral